AGUCGAACGGUAACAGGAAGAAGCUUGCUUCUUUGCUGACGAGUGGCGGACGGGUGAGUAAUGUCUGGGAAACUGCCUGAUGGAGGGGGAUAACUACUGGAAACGGUAGCUAAUACCGCAUAACGUCGCAAGACCAAAGAGGGGGACCUUCGGGCCUCUUGCCAUCGGAUGUGCCCAGAUGGGAUUAGCUAGUAGGUGGGGUAACGGCUCACCUAGGCGACGAUCCCUAGCUGGUCUGAGAGGAUGACCAGCCACACUGGAACUGAGACACGGUCCAGACUCCUACGGGAGGCAGCAGUGGGGAAUAUUGCACAAUGGGCGCAAGCCUGAUGCAGCCAUGCCGCGUGUAUGAAGAAGGCCUUCGGGUUGUAAAGUACUUUCAGCGGGGAGGAAGGGAGUAAAGUUAAUACCUUUGCUCAUUGACGUUACCCGCAGAAGAAGCACCGGCUAACUCCGUGCCAGCAGCCGCGGUAAUACGGAGGGUGCAAGCGUUAAUCGGAAUUACUGGGCGUAAAGCGCACGCAGGCGGUUUGUUAAGUCAGAUGUGAAAUCCCCGGGCUCAACCUGGGAACUGCAUCUGAUACUGGCAAGCUUGAGUCUC
RNAcentral lists this ribosomal RNA (601 nucleotides) under uncultured bacterium. RNAcentral's name for it is "bacterial SSU rRNA". It matches the Rfam family "Bacterial small subunit ribosomal RNA", at positions 60 to 650 of the family's 1533-position model. The record is from RNAcentral.